AGUGAACGCUGGCGGUAGGCCUAACACAUGCAAGUCGAACGGCAGCACAGUAAGAGCUUGCUCUUACGGGUGGCGAGUGGCGGACGGGUGAGGAAUACAUCGGAAUCUACUUUUUCGUGGGGGAUAACGUAGGGAAACUUACGCUAAUACCGCAUACGACCUACGGGUGAAAGCAGGGGAUCUUCGGACCUUGCGCGAUUGAAUGAGCCGAUGUCGGAUUAGCUAGUUGGCGGGGUAAAGGCCCACCAAGGCGACGAUCCGUAGCUGGUCUGAGAGGAUGAUCAGCCACCCUGGAACUGAGACACGGUCCAGACUCCUACGGGAGGCAGCAGUGGGGAAUAUUGGACAAUGGGCGCAAGCCUGAUCCAGCCAUACCGCGUGGGUGAAGAAGGCCUUCGGGUUGUAAAGCCCUUUUGUUGGGAAAGAGAAGCAGCAGGUUAAUACCCCGCUGUUCUGACGGUACCCAAAGAAUAAGCACCGGCUAACUUCGUG
RNAcentral lists this ribosomal RNA (492 nucleotides) under uncultured bacterium. Its description in RNAcentral is "partial 16S ribosomal RNA". It matches the Rfam family "Bacterial small subunit ribosomal RNA", at positions 29 to 507 of the family's 1533-position model. The record is from RNAcentral.